UACGUAGGGGGCGAGCGUUGUCCGGAUUUACUGGGCGUAAAGAGCGCGCAGGCGGUCGAUCAAGUCGAGUGUGAAAGCCCCCGGCUCAACUGGGGAGGGUCACGCGAUACUGAUCGACUCGAAGGCAGGAGAGGGAAGUGGAAUUCCCGGUGUAGUGGUGAAAUGCGUAGAUAUCGGGAGGAACACCAGUGGCGAAGGCGACUUCCUGGCCUGUUCUUGACGCUGAGGCGCGAAAGCUAGGGGAGCAAACGGG
RNAcentral lists this ribosomal RNA (253 nucleotides) under uncultured bacterium. Its description in RNAcentral is "partial 16S ribosomal RNA". It matches the Rfam family "Bacterial small subunit ribosomal RNA", at positions 524 to 776 of the family's 1533-position model. The record is from RNAcentral.